UGGCAGUGGGAGAGAAUUCCAUCAGUGGACAGCUCUAUUUUUAAGGCUCUGGCUUUGUUUUCUGUUUCCUGAGAGGCAGUCCCUGCAGCAGGCUUGAGCCUCUCUCACUGACAGCCUGCCUCGCAUAAUGUUAAGCAGGCAUCGGACAGUUGCUGGAAGGCGGGGAAUUGCAAUGAAAGAGCACGGAGGUGAGAGGCUGUGCUCCUUGACGUGAAGGCAGCUUCUGUGCUCCUGGGAUCUACUGUUCAGCCAAAGUGACGCCUGCUUGCAUUCUACUGGAGUGACUCAUCCUUGCCUCAGCAGAAUGGGCCUAGGUGGAGCUUGAAAUUAAUGAAGAGAUGCUGCUUCCAGCUUUUUGAGCAAGAAGAAGUUUGGCCUCCAGUUAUUACACCUUGAGGUCAGCGGGUAUCUCAAGUCUGAGUAGUUAUAAAAGUGAGCUGAUGUAGUAACACCACCAAAGCAACGUUUUGUCUAAAUAUUUCAGAUCCCCUAUAAUAAAUCAUUUAUUAUGAUUA
Long non-coding RNA from Symphalangus syndactylus (siamang), 515 nucleotides. RefSeq lists it as uncharacterized. The record is from RefSeq and is a predicted model, not a curated record. NCBI's taxonomy places the organism in Eukaryota, Metazoa, Chordata, Mammalia, Primates, Hylobatidae.